UUAAGCGACUAAGCGUACACGGUGGAUGCCCUGGCAGUCAGAGGCGAUGAAGGACGUGCUAAUCUGCGAUAAGCGUCGGUAAGGUGAUAUGAACCGUUAUAACCGGCGAUUUCCGAAUGGGGAAACCCAGUGUGUUUCGACACACUAUCAUUAACUGAAUCCAUAGGUUAAUGAGGCGAACCGGGGGAACUGAAACAUCUAAGUACCCCGAGGAAAAGAAAUCAACCGAGAUUCCCCCAGUAGCGGCGAGCGAACGGGGAGCAGCCCAGAGCCUGAAUCAGUAUGUGUGUUAGUGGAAGCGUCUGGAAAGGCGCGCGAUACAGGGUAACAGCCCCGUACACAAAAAUGCACAUGCUGUGAGCUCGAUGAGUAGGGCGGGACACGUGGUAUCCUGUCUGAGUAUGGGGGGACCAUCCUCCAAGGCUAAAUACUCCUGACUGACCGAUAGUGAACCAGUACCGUGAGGGAAAGGCGAAAAGAACCCCGGCGAGGGGAGUGAAAAAGAACCUGAAACCGUGUACGUACAAGCAGUGGGAGCUCGCUUAGGCGUGUGACUGCGUACCUUUUGUAUAAUGGGUCAGCGACUUAUAUUCUGUAGCAAGGUUAACCGAAUAGGGGAGCCGAAGGGAAACCGAGUCUUAACUGGGCGUUAAGUUGCAGGGUAUAGACCCGAAACCCGGUGAUCUAGCCAUGGGCAGGUUGAAGGUUGGGUAACACUAACUGGAGGACCGAACCGACUAAUGUUGAAAAAUUAGACGGAUGACUUGUGGCUGGGGGUAGAAAGGCCAAAGUCAAACCGGGAGAUAGGCUGGUUCUCCCGAAAGCUAUUAGGUAGCGCCUCGUGAAUUCAUCUCCGGGGGUAGAGCACUGUUUCGGCAAGGGGGUCAUCCCGACUUACCAACCCGAUGCAAACUGCGAAUACCGGAGAAUGUUAUCACGGGAGACACACGGCGGGUGCUAACGUCCGUCGUGAAGAGGGAAACAACCCAGACCGCCAGCUAAGGUCCCAAAGUCAUGGUUAAGUGGGAAACGAUGUGGGAAGGCCCAGACAGCCAGGAUGUUGGCUUAGAAGCAGCCAUCAUUUAAAGAAAGCGUAAUAGCUCACUGGUCGAGUCGGCCUGCGCGGAAGAUGUAACGGGGCUAAACCAUGCACCGAAGCUGCGGCAGCGACGCUUAUGCGUUGUUGGGUAGGGGAGCGUUCUGUAAGCCUGUGAAGGUGUGCUGUGAGGCAUGCUGGAGGUAUCAGAAGUGCGAAUGCUGACAUAAGUAACGAUAAAGCGGGUGAAAAGCCCGCUCGCCGGAAGACCAAGGGUUCCUGUCCAACGUUAAUCGGGGCAGGGUGAGUCGACCCCUAAGGCGAGGCCGAAAGGCGUAGUCGAUGGGAAACAGGUUAAUAUUCCUGUACUUGGUGUUACUGCGAAGGGGGGACGAAGAAGGCUAAUGUUGGCCGGGCGACGGUUGUCCCGGUUUAAGCGUGUAGGCUGGUUUUCCAGGCAAAUCCGGAAAAUCAAGGCUGAGGCGUGAUGACGAGGCACUACGGUGCUGAAGCAACAAAUGCCCUGCUUCCAGGAAAAGCCUCUAAGCAUCAGGUAACAUCAAAUCGUACCCCAAACCGACACAGGUGGUCAGGUAGAGAAUACCAAGGCGCUUGAGAGAACUCGGGUGAAGGAACUAGGCAAAAUGGUGCCGUAACUUCGGGAGAAGGCACGCUGAUAUGUAGGUGAAGUCCCUCGCGGAUGGAGCUGAAAUCAGUCGAAGAUACCAGCUGGCUGCAACUGUUAUUAAAACACAGCACUGUGCAAACACGAAAGUGGACGUAUACGGUGUGACGCCUGCCCGGUGCCGGAAGGUUAAUUGAUGGGGUCAGCGCAAGCGAAGCUCUUGAUCGAAGCCCCGGUAAACGGCGGCCGUAACUAUAACGGUCCUAAGGUAGCGAAAUUCCUUGUCGGGUAAGUUCCGACCUGCACGAAUGGCGUAAUGAUGGCCAGGCUGUCUCCACCCGAGACUCAGUGAAAUUGAACUCGCUGUGAAGAUGCAGUGUACCCGCGGCAAGACGGAAAGACCCCGUGAACCUUUACUAUAGCUUGACACUGAACAUUGAGCCUUGAUGUGUAGGAUAGGUGGGAGGCUUGGAAGUGUGGACGCCAGUCUGCAUGGAGCCGACCUUGAAAUACCACCCUUUAAUGUUUGAUGUUCUAACGUUGACCCGUAAUCCGGGUUGCGGACAGUGUCUGGUGGGUAGUUUGACUGGGGCGGUCUCCUCCUAAAGAGUAACGGAGGAGCACGAAGGUUGGCUAAUCCUGGUCGGACAUCAGGAGGUUAGUGCAAUGGCAUAAGCCAGCUUGACUGCGAGCGUGACGGCGCGAGCAGGUGCGAAAGCAGGUCAUAGUGAUCCGGUGGUUCUGAAUGGAAGGGCCAUCGCUCAACGGAUAAAAGGUACUCCGGGGAUAACAGGCUGAUACCGCCCAAGAGUUCAUAUCGACGGCGGUGUUUGGCACCUCGAUGUCGGCUCAUCACAUCCUGGGGCUGAAGUAGGUCCCAAGGGUAUGGCUGUUCGCCAUUUAAAGUGGUACGCGAGCUGGGUUUAGAACGUCGUGAGACAGUUCGGUCCCUAUCUGCCGUGGGCGCUGGAGAACUGAGGGGGGCUGCUCCUAGUACGAGAGGACCGGAGUGGACGCAUCACUGGUGUUCGGGUUGUCAUGCCAAUGGCACUGCCCGGUAGCUAAAUGCGGAAGAGAUAAGUGCUGAAAGCAUCUAAGCACGAAACUUGCCCCGAGAUGAGUUCUCCCUGACUCCUUGAGAGUCCUGAAGGAACGUUGAAGACGACGACGUUGAUAGGCCGGGUGUGUAAGCGCAGCGAUGCGUUGAGCUAACCGGUACUAAUGAACCGUGAGGCUUAACCUU
RNAcentral lists this ribosomal RNA (2904 nucleotides) under Escherichia coli DEC9B. RNAcentral's name for it is "bacterial LSU rRNA". It matches the Rfam family "Bacterial large subunit ribosomal RNA". Lineage: Bacteria; Pseudomonadati; Pseudomonadota; Gammaproteobacteria; Enterobacterales; Enterobacteriaceae. The record is from RNAcentral.